UACGUAGGGUGCGAGCGUUAAUCGGAAUUACUGGGCGUAAAGGGAGCGUAGGCGGAUAUAUAAGUUAGAUGUGAAAUACCUGAGCUUAACUUGGGAAGGGCAUUUAAAACUGUGUAUCUAGAGUUUAUGAGAGGGGGGUAGAAUUCCAGGUGUAGCAGUGAAAUGCGUAGAGAUCUGGAGGAAUACCGGUGGCGAAGGCGGCCCCCUGGCAUAUGACUGACGCUGAUGCUCGAAAGCGUGGGUAGCAAACAGG
This 253-nucleotide ribosomal RNA is filed under the name uncultured bacterium. RNAcentral describes it as "partial 16S ribosomal RNA". It matches the Rfam family "Bacterial small subunit ribosomal RNA", at positions 524 to 776 of the family's 1533-position model. The record is from RNAcentral.